UUUAAAGUGUAAUGUAAGUCGCUUUGGAUAAAAGCGUCUGUUAAAUGACCUGUA
Non-coding RNA from Gasterosteus aculeatus (three-spined stickleback), 54 nucleotides. The record is from Rfam. NCBI's taxonomy places the organism in Eukaryota, Metazoa, Chordata, Actinopteri, Perciformes, Gasterosteidae.